RNAcentral lists this long non-coding RNA (510 nucleotides) under Homo sapiens (human). RNAcentral's name for it is "HSALNT0230687". Lineage: Eukaryota; Metazoa; Chordata; Mammalia; Primates; Hominidae. The record is from RNAcentral.
GACAGAAAGAGACAGGGACAGAGGAACAAGAUGGAGACCACAACAACGAAGAGAGAAAGACAAAGAGGAUCCUCUACAGCCCUCACCUGUGCUUGCCAGGAAGCAAGGGAGUCACCAGAUCAGCAGCUGUUUCCACUCUGACAGACACCUGCCCACUGCCAGCAACAGCCAAAGGCCUCCAGAGGGGGCCUCACCUCAGUGCACUCUCCCUGGGACCUGUGCCCCUCCGUGCAGGAGACCUCCUCCCCCAAGGACAGCCAUCAGUGCAGCCCACGACACACCCCACAGCUCCAGCCCCUCAAAAGCCAGGAACAUAUAUGCCAAAAAUCGUACUUCUCCCAUUAAAAAAAAAAAGUGGUACAUUAACUGGCAGGAGGGAGGGAUGGCAAGGUAGGGGGAGAGUGCAGAGCAUGUGGGCCUCACUAAACCUUUGAGCUGCUUUCAUUCAGGGAUUUCAAUGCUCCAGUUACAAGAGAGUUGUUAACCUCGUCAUUAAAACCUCCGGACCCA